This 253-nucleotide ribosomal RNA is filed under the name uncultured bacterium. RNAcentral describes it as "partial 16S ribosomal RNA". It matches the Rfam family "Bacterial small subunit ribosomal RNA", at positions 524 to 776 of the family's 1533-position model. The record is from RNAcentral.
UACAGGGGGGGCAAGCGUUGUUCGGAAUUACUGGGCGUAAAGGGUUCGUAGGUGGCCAACUAAGUCAGACGUGAAAUCCCUCAGCUUAACUGGGGAACUGCGUCUGAUACUGGAUGGCUUGAGUGUAGGAGAGGAAUGCGGAAUUCCAGGUGUAGCGGUGAAAUGCGUAGAUAUCUGGAGGAACACCGGUGGCGAAGGCGGCAUUCUGGACUACAACUGACACUGAGGUGCGAAAGCUAGGGGAGCGAACGGG